UUCACAGGGAGGUGUCAUUUAUG
Molecule: microRNA, 23 nt
Filed under: Macaca mulatta (Rhesus monkey)
Lineage: Eukaryota; Metazoa; Chordata; Mammalia; Primates; Cercopithecidae
Also listed under: 2 other names
Description: Mml-Mir-506-P5o1_5p (mature (guide))
Source: RNAcentral